Marmota flaviventris (yellow-bellied marmot) is the source of this 3596-nucleotide RNA transcript. It is a transcript of the gene named potassium two pore domain channel subfamily K member 6, with no coding region annotated. NCBI's taxonomy places the organism in Eukaryota, Metazoa, Chordata, Mammalia, Rodentia, Sciuridae. The record is from RefSeq and is a predicted model, not a curated record.
ACUCCCGGAACUGAACCCAGGCGGCGGGCGGCGGCGGCGGCGGGGGCCACGUCAGCGGGCGGCCCGGGGCUGUGCGGGGGCGGGUGGAGGGCGCCAUGCGGCGGGGCGCGCUCCUGGCGGGCGCCCUGGCCGCGUACGCCGUGUACCUGGUGCUGGGCGCGCUGCUGGUGGCGCGGCUGGAGGCGCCGCACGAAGCCCGGCUCCGAGCCGAGUUGGGGACGCUGCGGGAGCAGCUGCUGCGGCGCAGCCCGUGCGUGGCGGCCCCGGCCCUGGACGCCUUCGUGGAGCGAGUGCUGGCGGCCGGACGGCUGGGGCGCGCCGCGCUGGCCAACGCGUCGGGGCCCGCCAACGCCUCGGACCCCGCCUGGGACUUCGCCUCGGCGCUCUUCUUCGCCAGCACGCUGGUCACCACCGUGGGCUACGGCUACACGACGCCGCUGACGGACGCGGGCAAGGCCUUCUCCAUCGCCUUCGCGCUCCUGGGCGUGCCGACCACCAUGCUGCUGCUCACCGCCUCGGCCCAGCGCCUGUCGCUGCUGCUGACCCACGCGCCCCUGUCCUGGCUGAGCUGGCGCUGGGGCUGGGACCCGCGACGGGCCGCGCGCUGGCACCUGGUGGCCCUGCUGGGCGUCAUCGUGACCGUCUGCUUUCUGGUGCCGGCCACGGUCUUCGCCCACCUGGAGGAGGCCUGGAGCUUCCUGGACGCCUUCUACUUCUGCUUCAUCUCUCUGUCCACCAUCGGUCUGGGUGACUAUGUCCCCGGCGAGGCCCCCGGCCAGCCCCACCGGGCCCUCUACAAGGUGCUGGUCACAGCCUACCUCUUCCUGGGCCUGGUGGCCAUGGUGCUGGUGCUGCAGACCUUCCGCCACGUGUCCGACCUCCACGGCCUCACGGAGCUCGUCCUGCUGCCCAGCCCGUGCCCCGCCAGCCUCGGCGACGACAGGGACGAUCGGGUGGACAUCCUGGGCGCCCCGCCCGAGCUGCACCAGCACCUCUCCGCUGGCGCCCGCGCCGACUACGCCUCCAUCCCCAGGUAGCGGGCAGGCGGUGGCUGCGGGCCCAGGGCAGGACCCGAUGUCCAUGCAGGUGGAGCGGAGGCAGGGGCUGCUCGGCCCUCGGGCCCUGGGGCUCCGGCGGCACCUCGGCGACCUCCCCCCCUGCCCCUCCCCCCCAUUGUCCCCUCUCCCCCUUGCCCCACCCUCUGGCUUUCUGCUUUCCUGACGUCCGUCCUUCGACCCUCAGUCUCCAUGUUCCAUCAGCCGCUCACCCACCCGCUCCUCCAGGGAGGCUGUCCCAGACCCGGUCCCGGACCUGUUUCGCACAGGUCAGGUGCUCAGUGGCAGCCCUCUCUGAGCCUCGGUUUCCUCGGCUGUCAGAGGGCCGUCCGUUCACCCCCAGACCCUGCCUCUGUGCUGGCCCAGGGCUACACAGUUCUGGGGACACAGGAGUAGUGGAGGUGGCCCUGUUCUCUACUUUCAUGGGACUCACAGCCAUGUCCCCACCUGGUGGAAGUCCCAGACGGCAGAGGCAGAGUGAGUGGUCAGGGCACCAGCCAGCUGCAGCUGGAAGGUCAGGAGAGGAAGUGACAGGACUGAGAACGGAAAUGUGAGGAACGGUCAGAGGAAGAAGGUGUCCUUGAUUCACGUUCCCAGGUACCUUCAGGGACCAGGGCCUGCGUGGCCAUCCUGGGGCAGGCCGGGUGGCAGGACCUCCCUCAGUAUCUCAGCCCAGGUCCCCCUUCACCGAGCCUGUGGGCUCCCUCUAGCCCAGCCGUGUCCUGCCCGGGUCCUUAGGCAGUUUCUCUACCUCUCAGACUGUUCCUAUAAAAUGGCAACCAGGAUAGCACCACUUGCAGAGGUGAUGUCGCCGGGACUGCCCUGUUACUCUGUGACACUCUGGCCAGGCUCUCUUCUGGAUACUUUACAGGAAGGGAGAUAAUGUUGGUUAUCUCCUUUCCACAGAUGAGGAAACUGAGGCAAGGGAAGGUGGUCCCUUGACCCAGCCACAGGUGAGGAAGUGAUUGGUUGUAGGUUUAAGCCCCUCGGAUCUGCCCCUCCUGAGACGGGCUGUCGCAGAGCCUCCUGCCAAGGGUCCUGGACUGAGCUCCUAGCUCUACCACACCCUGUGCCUCAGUCACAGAAGGGACCACGGGGCACUGGAGCCAGGCAGGGCAGGGCAGGCAGAAGCAAGAGCCUGCCCAGGCCUGGCGCUGGGGCAUGUGGGCAGCAGCUUCUGGCUCCUGUGCCUGGAAUAAGGCAGGGACGAGGGAGGAGCUGGUCUGAGUCCUGGAGUGACUCCCGGGGUGGCCUCAUCCGGAGGGCACUGGAGAGGUAUGGAGGCGUUUGGACCAAGAAGGGGAGUCGUGGUCAGAUUUGGACUUUAGGAAGGCCCCCCAGCUGCGUGUGCAGGGAGAUAAGUGGGGGAAACUGAGGCAGGGUGCUGGGGGAGGCUGGGGGAGAACAGAGAGCAUGGGCUGGGCAGGGCCAUGGGAUCGGGGAGGCCCUGAGCUGGCGGAUGGGCUUUGCAGACUGGGAAGGACCGGGCCCAUGGUCAGUUGUGCCUGGGGACCUGGGAGGCAGCACAGCUCUGAGAGGGGUUGGGGGCUAUUUUAACAUAUGGUGAGUCUGAGGGGCUACAGGGACAUCCAGGAGGUGUCACAGGGCCCUGGGGCUGGGGCUCAGGGGGUGGUCAAAGUUGGAGUCAAAGGAAUUGAGGCUGUGGGAGAGGAUGAAGAGAGAAGUGGCCUCAGGGUGUUUACAUAUUGAUAUCAAUUAGGAAAGAUUUUGGCUUUUCUGGGGUUCUAAUAAGGCAAAUGUUAGAUUGCUCCUCAUCAGAGUCAGGGAGACCUCUGGAAAUACUCUCCACAGCAAUGCAAGAGCCUAGUGAUCCCAGGGUCCCUGUGUCUCUGCUCUGCCACCCUCAGCUGAAGGCUUGCCUCACAUGUGUUCUCCCCUCAUGGUCCCAAAGUGGCUGCCAGAGGUCUAGGCAUCACAAUUGGACAUGAUCUUCUCUAGUGAGCAAUGACCCUUCAAUGAAUGUUGUGAUACCAAAGAAAAGUGCUUACAAAGGAGAAAGAAAAAAAGCACAGGAUAAAGAGGAAUAAGGAAAACCAGGAAGGUGGACAGUAAAAUGAGAGAGAGAGAGAGAGAAGAGAGGAGAGGGAGGAGAGAAAAAAGGAAAAGAGAAAUGCCAACUGUACCACGGAGAGCUCGGCCGGCGGGGGAGAAGCCUUCCUCCUGCACUCGGCGCGGGGGUCCGCAGGUUUCCUCCAGGGCUGCGCCGGCAACAUCCACACGCGUGUCUUAUUUCCCAUUCUACACAAAUGGUACCUAGUGUGUUGAGGUGGUGAGAAUCACAGACUGUCACUCCCAAGCUGGGGGACUUUGGGCAGGUGAUGUCACCUCCAGUUGCUCAUUUGUGACACGGGAUGCCAACCGCGCCUACCUCAUGGAUGGAGCAGUCGAGCUCACCACCUGGAGAGCACUCAGGGGCGUGUGGGACUCCGUGAAAUGCUGCCUCAUAUUGCUGUUGUUCUCAUUGUAAAAUAUUAUGUAGAUGAUAUAAAAACAUUCACAUUUCAACAUUACAUUCUGUGA